Molecule: ribosomal RNA, 527 nt
Filed under: uncultured bacterium
Lineage: Bacteria
Description: bacterial SSU rRNA
Rfam family: Bacterial small subunit ribosomal RNA
Source: RNAcentral
GACAUACUAAGAACUUUCCAGAGAUGGAUUGGUGCCUUCGGGAACCUAGAUACAGGUGCUGCAUGGCUGUCGUCAGCUCGUGUCGUGAGAUGUUGGGUUAAGUCCCGCAACGAGCGCAACCCUUUUCCUUAUUUGCCAGCGGGUCAUGCCGGGAACUUUAAGGAUACUGCCAGUGACAAACUGGAGGAAGGCGGGGACGACGUCAAGUCAUCAUGGCCCUUACGGCCAGGGCUACACACGUGCUACAAUGGUCGGUACAAAGGGUUGCUACCUCGCGAGAGGAUGCUAAUCUCAAAAAGCCGAUCGUAGUCCGGAUCGCAGUCUGCAACUCGACUGCGUGAAGUCGGAAUCGCUAGUAAUCGCGGAUCAGAAUGCCGCGGUGAAUACGUUCCCGGGCCUUGUACACACCGCCCGUCACACCAUGGGAGUUUGUUGCACCAGAAGUAGGUAGUCUAACCGCAAGGAGGACGCUUACCACGGUGUGGCCGAUGACUGGGGUGAAGUCGUAACAAGGUAGGCGUAGAUGA